GAUGAACGCUAGCGAUAGGCCUAACACAUGCAAGUCGAGGGGCAGCAUAGAGUAGCAAUACUUUGAUGGCUACCGGCGCACGGGUGAGUAACACGUAUGCAACCUACCUACAUCAGGGGAAUAACACGGAGAAAUUCGGACUAAUACCGCAUAAUACAGGGAUGCCGCAUGGCAAUAUUUGUUAAAGAUUUAUCGGAGGUAGAUGGGCAUGCGUUCCAUUGGCUUGUUAGUGAGGUAACGGCUCACCAAGGCAACGAUGGAUAGGGGAACUGAGAGGUUUGUCCCCCACACUGGAACUGAGACACGGACCAGACUCCUACGGGAGGCAGCAGUGAGGAAUAUUGGUCAAUGGACGAGAGUCUGAACCAGCCAAAUCGCGUGAAGGAAGACUGCCCUACGGGUUGUAAACUUCUUUUGUACAGGAAUAAAAGACAUUACGUGUAAUGUAUUGCAUGUACUGUACGAAUAAGCAUCGGCUAACUCCGUGCCAGCCGCCGCCGUAA
This 503-nucleotide ribosomal RNA is filed under the name uncultured bacterium. Its description in RNAcentral is "partial 16S ribosomal RNA". It matches the Rfam family "Bacterial small subunit ribosomal RNA", at positions 28 to 523 of the family's 1533-position model. The record is from RNAcentral.